RNAcentral lists this ribosomal RNA (1168 nucleotides) under Enterobacter roggenkampii. RNAcentral describes it as "partial 23S ribosomal RNA". It matches the Rfam family "Bacterial large subunit ribosomal RNA", at positions 1 to 1212 of the family's 2925-position model. Lineage: Bacteria; Pseudomonadati; Pseudomonadota; Gammaproteobacteria; Enterobacterales; Enterobacteriaceae. The record is from RNAcentral.
GGUUAAGCGACUAAGCGUACACGGUGGAUGCCCUGGCAGUCAGAGGCGAUGAAGGACGUGCUAAUCUGCGAAAAGCGCCGGCGAGGUGAUAUGAACCUUUGACCCGGCGAUGUCCGAAUGGGGAAACCCAGUGUGAUUCGUCACACUAUCGUUAACUGAAUACAUAGGUUAACGAGGCGAACCGGGGGAACUGAAACAUCUAAGUACCCCGAGGAAAAGAAAUCAACCGAGAUUCCCCCAGUAGCGGCGAGCGAACGGGGAGCAGCCCAGAGUCUGAAUCAGCUUGUGUGUUAGUGGAAGCGUCUGGAAAGUCGCACGGUACAGGGUGACAGUCCCGUACACGAAAGCACACAGGUUGUGAACUCGAAGAGUAGGGCGGGACACGUGGUAUCCUGUCUGAAUAUGGGGGGACCAUCCUCCAAGGCUAAAUACUCCUGACUGACCGAUAGUGAACCAGUACCGUGAGGGAAAGGCGAAAAGAACCCCGGCGAGGGGAGUGAAAAAGAACCUGAAACCGUGUACGUACAAGCAGUGGGAGCACCUUCGUGGUGUGACUGCGUACCUUUUGUAUAAUGGGUCAGCGACUUAUAUUCUGUAGCAAGGUUAACCGUAUAGGGGAGCCGAAGGGAAACCGAGUCUUAACUGGGCGUUAAGUUGCAGGGUAUAGACCCGAAACCCGGUGAUCUAGCCAUGGGCAGGUUGAAGGUUGGGUAACACUAACUGGAGGACCGAACCGACUAAUGUUGAAAAAUUAGCGGAUGACUUGUGGCUGGGGGUGAAAGGCCAAUCAAACCGGGAGAUAGCUGGUUCUCCCCGAAAGCUAUUUAGGUAGCGCCUCGUGAACUCAUCUUCGGGGGUAGAGCACUGUUUCGGCUAGGGGGCCAUCCCGGCUUACCAACCCGAUGCAAACUACGAAUACCGAAGAAUGUUAUCACGGGAGACACACGGCGGGUGCUAACGUCCGUCGUGAAGAGGGAAACAACCCAGACCGCCAGCUAAGGUCCCAAAGUCAUGGUUAAGUGGGAAACGAUGUGGGAAGGCACAGACAGCCAGGAUGUUGGCUUAGAAGCAGCCAUCAUUUAAAGAAAGCGUAAUAGCUCACUGGUCGAGUCGGCCUGCGCGGAAGAUGUAACGGGGCUAAACCAUGCACCGAAGCUGCGGCAGCGAC